RNAcentral lists this ribosomal RNA (460 nucleotides) under uncultured bacterium. RNAcentral's name for it is "partial 16S ribosomal RNA". It matches the Rfam family "Bacterial small subunit ribosomal RNA", at positions 338 to 795 of the family's 1533-position model. The record is from RNAcentral.
CCUACGGGUGGCAGCAGUGAGGAAUAUUGGUCAAUGGCCGCGAGCCUGAACCAGCCAAGUAGCGUGAAGGAUGACUGCCCUACGGGUUGUAAACUUCUUUUAUAACGGAAUAAAGUGCGGCACGUGUGCCUUUUUGUAUGUACUUUAUGAAUAAGGAUCGGCUAACUCCGUUCCAGCCGCCGCGGUAAUACGGAGGAUCCGAGCGUUAUCCGGAAUGACUGGGGGUAAAGGGUGCGUAGGUGGUUUGAUAAGUUGGGGGCGUAACGCCGAGGCUCAACCUCGGCACUGCUACUAAAACUGUCGGACUGGAGUGCAGGAGGGGCAAGCGGAAUGCCUAGUGUAGCGGUGGAAUGCUUAGAUAUUAGGAGGAACACCAGUGGCGAAGGCGAGUUGCUGGACUGUAACUGACACUGAGGCACGAAAGCGUGGGGAGCAAACAGGAUUAGAUACCCUAGUAGUC